Molecule: long non-coding RNA, 1095 nt
Organism: Cucumis sativus (cucumber)
Lineage: Eukaryota; Viridiplantae; Streptophyta; Magnoliopsida; Cucurbitales; Cucurbitaceae
Exons: 3
Source: RefSeq, a predicted model, not a curated record
UCUCCUUAUCAUCUUCACGAUAGAACCCAAAUAAUCCAACCUCAACCCAUUCUUCUCCAUUUCCAUGAACUUUCUUCUCAACGACGGAUACCCACGGCGACAUCAAAUCUAAACUUUUGGAAGACAACAACCCACACUCUUUUUAAAGAUUUUGAAGACAGGAAAAGGUCUGAAAAUAUUGAACCCAUAGUUGGAAAAUGGGUUUCAUACCUUAAUAGGGAGAAGAAGUUGGAUUCACUUGUAGGUUGAUGUCCUUUUGCUCCACAUGUUCCUAGAGGACUGUACAUAUAUGACAAUGUUGGAAGUGGUAAGUUUUGACUAUGAUAAAAUUUUAUGUAACAAGCUUGAAUAUUUGUUAUCAAUUCAUAGGGGAUUUAUGUUUAUAAUCUGACUAUCGCUCUCAUUUAUGCUUAUAAUCUUAGAAUCAAUUUAAUUUUGAUUUACUGAAUUAAUUGCUAAUAAUCUAGGGAAGACAAUGCUUAUGGACAUGGUUUUCAAUGCUAUUGAAGAAAUUGUUAAACAUAGAAAAAUGUACCAAUUUCAUGAGGUGAGACAUUAUUCUAGUUUAGAAGAUUAGAAACACAGGAACAUACAGGAAAAACUAGAAAAGAGUUUUUCUAGUUACACCAUAGCAAGGGAGUAGCGAAGGUAUGAAGGGGAUGCAAAAAAACUUCCUAAUAAUUCUCAAACCAAUGAUUAAAUUUCUCUUUUUUAUUUAAUGAUAUUGGGCGGAGCUAUGUAAAAUAAUUACUCCUAUUAUGAUUUUCCAAUAACUUUUCCUUUCUAGGAAACACUAGAAAAGCGUUGAAGAACCAGAUCUAUUGAAAAACAAUAUCACAGGUUUAGAAGAAUCUAUUGAAUCAGUGAAGCCAACGUGAAGUAACGGAUUGAUAUAGGACUUUUUGUAUGGUUGGUAAAAAAAUAUUGGUUUCAGUGUACUGAUUUUAGGCUUGUUGAUACCUAAAGAUGUUAAUGUUUAUUCUUUUUGUAUGUAAACUUCCUUUUAACAAAAAAUGGUUAUUAAUCAAUGUUUGUACGAAUAUUAUAAAGUGUAUUAUAACGUAUAUAUAUUAAAGUGUUGACUCUUUGUUUUCA